Molecule: ribosomal RNA, 434 nt
Filed under: uncultured bacterium
Lineage: Bacteria
Description: partial 16S ribosomal RNA
Rfam family: Bacterial small subunit ribosomal RNA
Source: RNAcentral
AGCGAACGCUGGCGGCAGGCCUAACACAUGCAAGUCGAACGAACCUUUCGGGGUUAGUGGCGGACGGGUGAGUAACACGUGGGAACGUGCCUUUAGGUUCGGAAUAACUCAGGGAAACUUGUGCUAAUACCGGAUGUGCCCUUCGGGGGAAAGAUUUAUCGCCUUUAGAGCGGCCCGCGUCUGUUUAGCUAGUUGGUUGAGGUAAUGGCUCACCAAGGCGACGAUCAGUAGCUGGUCUGAGAGGAUGAUCAGCCACAUUGGGACUGAGACACGGCCCAAACUCCUACGGGAGGCAGCAGUGGGUAAUCUUGCGCAAUGGGCGAAAGCCUGACGCAGCCAGGCCGCGUGAAUGAUGAAGGUCUUAGGAUUGUAAAAUUCUUUCACCGGGGACGAUAAUGACGGUACCCGGAGAAGAAGCCCCGGCUAACUUCGUG